RNAcentral lists this non-coding RNA (29 nucleotides) under Rattus norvegicus (Norway rat). The record is from RNAcentral. Lineage: Eukaryota; Metazoa; Chordata; Mammalia; Rodentia; Muridae.
UUUGUGCAUAGUUUUAGAAGUUUCUGGAG